UACAGAGGGUGCGAGCGUUAUUCGGAAUGAUUGGGCGUAAAGGGUGCGCAGACGGUUUGUUAAGUCAACUGUUAAAUUUCCCGGCCUAACUGGGAGCUCGCAGUAGAAACUGGCAGACUAGAGGAUGGAAGAGAGAAGUGGAAUUCUCGGAGUAGCGGUAAAAUGCGUAGAUCUCGAGAGGAACACCGAUGGCGAAGGCAGCUUCUUGGUCCAUUUCUGACGCUGAGGCACGAAAGCGUGGGGAGCAAACGGG
RNAcentral lists this ribosomal RNA (253 nucleotides) under uncultured bacterium. RNAcentral's name for it is "partial 16S ribosomal RNA". It matches the Rfam family "Bacterial small subunit ribosomal RNA", at positions 524 to 776 of the family's 1533-position model. The record is from RNAcentral.